UACGUAGGGUGCGAGCGUUGUCCGGAAUCAUUGGGCGUAAAGCGCACGUAGGCGGUUUGUUAUGUCGGAUGUGAAAGCCCUUGGCUCAACUGAGGAAGUGCAUCCGAAACUGGCAGGCUAGAGUACUAAAGAGGGUCGCGGAAUUCCCGGUGUAGAGGUGAAAUUCGUAGAUAUCGGGAGGACACCGGUGGCGAAGGCGGCGACCUGGGUAGAUACUGACGCUGAGGUGCGAAAAGCGUGGGGAGCAAACAGGG
Molecule: ribosomal RNA, 254 nt
Filed under: uncultured bacterium
Lineage: Bacteria
Description: partial 16S ribosomal RNA
Rfam family: Bacterial small subunit ribosomal RNA
Source: RNAcentral